CUGCAACCCGCCUGCAUGAAGCCGGAAUUGCUAGUAAUCGCGGAUCAGCAUGCCGCGGUGAAUACGUUCCCGGGCCUUGUACACACCGCCCGUCACACCAUGGGAGUCGGUAACACCCGAAGCCAGUAGCCCAACCGCAAGGAGGACGCUGUCGAAGGUGGGAUUGAUAACUGGGGUGAAGUCGUAACAAGGUAAC
Molecule: ribosomal RNA, 196 nt
Filed under: uncultured bacterium
Lineage: Bacteria
Description: partial 16S ribosomal RNA
Rfam family: Bacterial small subunit ribosomal RNA
Source: RNAcentral